This 597-nucleotide ribosomal RNA is filed under the name uncultured Actinomycetes bacterium. RNAcentral's name for it is "uncultured actinobacterium partial 16S ribosomal RNA". Lineage: Bacteria; Bacillati; Actinomycetota; Actinomycetes. The record is from RNAcentral.
GGGAGCUCUCCCAUAUGGUCGACCUGCAGGCGGCCGCGAAUUCACUAGUGAUUCUAUUACCGCGGCUGCUGGCACGUAGUUGGCCGGGGCUUCUUCUGCAGGUACCGUCAAUUUCGUCCCUGCUGAAAGCGGUUUACGACCCUAAGGCCUUCAUCCCGCACGCGGCGUCGCUGCGUCAGACUUUCGUCCAUUGCGCAAGAUUCCUAGCUGCUGCCUCCCGUAGGAGUCUGGGCCGUGUCUCAGUCCCAGUGUGGCUGGACAUCCUCUCAGACCAGCUACCCGUCGCUGCCUUGGUGGGCCGUUACCCCACCAACAAGCUGAUAGGCCGCGAGGCCAUCCCGAAGCGGAAUCCAUUUCUUCGCCAGACCAUGCGAUCCGGCGAAGGCAUCCGGUAUUAGCACCAGUUUCCCGGCGUUAUCCCGGUCUUCGGGGCAGGUUCCUCACGUGUUACUCACCCGUUCGCCACUCUCCACCCGGGCAAGCCCGGGUAUCUCGUUCGACUUGCAUGCUUGAAGCGCGCCGCCAGCGUUCGUCCUGAGCCAGGAUCAAACUCUAAUCGAAUUCCCGCGGCCGCCAUGGCGCCCGCAAGCAUGCGAC